This 345-nucleotide unclassified non-coding RNA is filed under the name soil metagenome. Its description in RNAcentral is "partial contains 5.8S ribosomal RNA, internal transcribed spacer 2, and large subunit ribosomal RNA". The stretch from base 1 to 120 matches the Rfam family "5.8S ribosomal RNA", at positions 35 to 154 of the family's 154-position model. The record is from RNAcentral.
GAUGAAGAACGCAGCGAAAUGCGAUACGUAAUGUGAAUUGCAGAAUUCAGUGAAUCAUCGAGUCUUUGAACGCACAUUGCGCCCCCUGGUAUUCCGGGGGGCAUGCCUGUCCGAGCGUCAUUGCUGCCCUCAAGCACGGCUUGUGUGUUGGGCCUCCGUCCUCCUCCCGGGGCACGGGCCCGAAAGGCAGCGGCGGCACCGCGUCCGGUCCUCGAGCGUAUGGGGCUUCGUCACCCGCUCUUGUAGGCCCGGCCGGCGCUUGCCGACACAUCAAUCUUUUUUCCAGGUUGACCUCGGAUCAGGUAGGGAUACCCGCUGAACUUAAGCAUAUCAAUAAGCGGAGGA